UGGAGGAUGCUCUGAGUUCUCUGUCAGGUUUCUCUCCAGGUUUUGUCCAGGGUUUUGUUCCAAGAAAACCUCAGAGUGUUUUGCUUCUCUUCCUUCUUCUGUCUGUUAUGUUUCAAUGAAACUCUAGUAUUUAUAGGCUAAUAUUGGUAGCUUAGUGGGCUUUCGAGAGAUGUCCAAGUUUGAGAUUUUUUUCUUUUUAUUUAUUUAUUUAUUUAAUUAAUUAAAUUUUUUUUUCCGUUUUUCUUUUUCCGUUUUUAUUUAUUUUUUGUUUAUUUUUUUUUUAAAUAAAGUUUCUUGGAUCUGAUUCUGACUGACAUGAUGAAAUGUAAUAUGAAAUGUUAAAUGACCUAAAAAUGAAUGCAUGAAUGGGGAGGGCAAAUUUUGGGGUGU
RNAcentral lists this long non-coding RNA (390 nucleotides) under Lathyrus oleraceus (garden pea). RNAcentral describes it as "Pisum sativum (pea) long non-coding RNA (PSAT_LNC007379)". Lineage: Eukaryota; Viridiplantae; Streptophyta; Magnoliopsida; Fabales; Fabaceae. The record is from RNAcentral.